Small nucleolar RNA from Telopea speciosissima, 85 nucleotides. RefSeq annotates it as small nucleolar RNA Z102/R77. The transcript has a single exon. NCBI's taxonomy places the organism in Eukaryota, Viridiplantae, Streptophyta, Magnoliopsida, Proteales, Proteaceae. The record is from RefSeq and is a predicted model, not a curated record.
GAAUGAGAUGAUGAUUUAUAGAUUUCCCUAUUGGUUUGAUUGCCGAAAUGAUGGCAACAAAAGUAUUAGCUCUAGCUGAUCAUUC